This 389-nucleotide ribosomal RNA is filed under the name uncultured bacterium. Its description in RNAcentral is "bacterial SSU rRNA". It matches the Rfam family "Bacterial small subunit ribosomal RNA", at positions 28 to 418 of the family's 1533-position model. The record is from RNAcentral.
GACGAACGCUGGCGGCGUGCUUAACACAUGCAAGUCGAGCGGUAAGGCCCUUUCGGGGGUACACGAGCGGCGAACGGGUGAGUAACACGUGGGUGACCUGCCUUUAGCUCUGGGAUAAGCCUGGGAAACUGGGUCUAAUACCGGAUACGACUCCGCGGUGCAUGCUGUGGGGUGGAAAGCCUUGUGCGGCUGGAGAUGGGCCCGCGGCCUAUCAGCUUGUUGGUGGGGUGAUGGCCUACCAAGGCGACGACGGGUAGCCGGCCUGAGAGGGCGACCGGCCACACUGGGACUGAGACACGGCCCAGACUCUUACGGGAGGCAGCAGUGGGGAAUCUUGCGCAAUGGGCGAAAGCCUGACGCAGCGACGCCGCGUGAGGGAUGACGGCCUU